AGAUCCUGUUUCUGAAUCUGAAAAAGAAUCUUUUGCUGCUGCUGAGCAGAUGAUGUGUGAGCCAGUUGAUCAUUCUGUGUCAGCAGUGGAUGCUUGUAAUACAGAAGGCGGACUUGAACCUCUUGAAGUAGUAACAAAAAAAAUGGGUCAGGACUGCACAAAGGAUAAAGAAGUGUGUCAAGCUCCUUGUGAUUCAUCUGCAAACAAGGGAGACAGCAUUGUAGCACUUGUAAAAGAAAAUGAUGACAAGAAAAUUAAAAAUAUUUCAGAACCAACUGUAAACAAUGAGAUACUUGGGCCUGUGCCCUCGGCCAUAAAAGAGUCUUUCCAGGAUACUAAUCAUAAAGGUCAGGAGGAACACAGUGUUAUGGUAUCUGGAGAAGAACACGAAAGUAGUGAUAACCUUGACAAGCGAGCUGGUGGUUCCCCUACUGUCAUUAGAACUACUGAACUUUCUCGUGGUGAAAGUAACAAGGAGGAACUCAGAAGAUUGUCAGAUCAGAGUGUUUCAGUUUCUGAGGUAAUUGAUGGUGACACCAUCAAAAUAAA
This 549-nucleotide unclassified non-coding RNA is filed under the name Hevea brasiliensis (rubber tree). Lineage: Eukaryota; Viridiplantae; Streptophyta; Magnoliopsida; Malpighiales; Euphorbiaceae. The record is from RNAcentral.